This 1400-nucleotide ribosomal RNA is filed under the name Staphylococcus haemolyticus. RNAcentral describes it as "bacterial SSU rRNA". It matches the Rfam family "Bacterial small subunit ribosomal RNA". The record is from RNAcentral. Lineage: Bacteria; Bacillati; Bacillota; Bacilli; Caryophanales; Staphylococcaceae.
CGAACAGACAAGGAGCUUGCUCCUUUGACGUUAGCGGCGGACGGGUGAGUAACACGUGGGUAACCUACCUAUAAGACUGGGAUAACUUCGGGAAACCGGAGCUAAUACCGGAUAAUAUUUCGAACCGCAUGGUUCGAUAGUGAAAGAUGGUUUUGCUAUCACUUAUAGAUGGACCCGCGCCGUAUUAGCUAGUUGGUAAGGUAACGGCUUACCAAGGCGACGAUACGUAGCCGACCUGAGAGGGUGAUCGGCCACACUGGAACUGAGACACGGUCCAGACUCCUACGGGAGGCAGCAGUAGGGAAUCUUCCGCAAUGGGCGAAAGCCUGACGGAGCAACGCCGCGUGAGUGAUGAAGGUCUUCGGAUCGUAAAACUCUGUUAUUAGGGAAGAACAUACGUGUAAGUAACUAUGCACGUCUUGACGGUACCUAAUCAGAAAGCCACGGCUAACUACGUGCCAGCAGCCGCGGUAAUACGUAGGUGGCAAGCGUUAUCCGGAAUUAUUGGGCGUAAAGCGCGCGUAGGCGGUUUUUUAAGUCUGAUGUGAAAGCCCACGGCUCAACCGUGGAGGGUCAUUGGAAACUGGAAAACUUGAGUGCAGAAGAGGAAAGUGGAAUUCCAUGUGUAGCGGUGAAAUGCGCAGAGAUAUGGAGGAACACCAGUGGCGAAGGCGACUUUCUGGUCUGUAACUGACGCUGAUGUGCGAAAGCGUGGGGAUCAAACAGGAUUAGAUACCCUGGUAGUCCACGCCGUAAACGAUGAGUGCUAAGUGUUAGGGGGUUUCCGCCCCUUAGUGCUGCAGCUAACGCAUUAAGCACUCCGCCUGGGGAGUACGACCGCAAGGUUGAAACUCAAAGGAAUUGACGGGGACCCGCACAAGCGGUGGAGCAUGUGGUUUAAUUCGAAGCAACGCGAAGAACCUUACCAAAUCUUGACAUCCUUUGACAACUCUAGAGAUAGAGCCUUCCCCUUCGGGGGACAAAGUGACAGGUGGUGCAUGGUUGUCGUCAGCUCGUGUCGUGAGAUGUUGGGUUAAGUCCCGCAACGAGCGCAACCCUUAAGCUUAGUUGCCAUCAUUAAGUUGGGCACUCUAAGUUGACUGCCGGUGACAAACCGGAGGAAGGUGGGGAUGACGUCAAAUCAUCAUGCCCCUUAUGAUUUGGGCUACACACGUGCUACAAUGGACAAUACAAAGGGCAGCGAAACCGCGAGGUCAAGCAAAUCCCAUAAAGUUGUUCUCAGUUCGGAUUGUAAUCUGCAACUCGACUACAUGAAGCUGGAAUCGCUAGUAAUCGUAGAUCAGAAUGCUACGGUGAAUACGUUCCCGGGUCUUGUACACACCGCCCGUCACACCACGAGAGUUUGUAACACCCGAAGCCGGUGGAGUAACCAUUUGGAG